This 218-nucleotide unclassified non-coding RNA is filed under the name soil metagenome. Its description in RNAcentral is "partial contains 5.8S ribosomal RNA, internal transcribed spacer 2, and large subunit ribosomal RNA". The record is from RNAcentral.
AACGCACGAGACCUGCGGACCUGCGGAAGGAUCAUUACAGAGUCUCCAGACUCCCAAACCACUGUGAACCUUACCUUAAACCGCGCUCCGGCGGGUCGCCCCCGGGGGGGUCGCCGGCCGAAAGGCACCCGCCGGAGCCAACCUCAAAGUCUCUGUACGAAAACAGUCUUCUGAGUGUCAAAAAAAUUAAAAUUCACAACUUUCAACAAUGGAUCUCU